RNAcentral lists this transfer RNA (72 nucleotides) under Bos taurus (domestic cattle). It matches the Rfam family "tRNA". From Rfam's summary of the family: Transfer RNA (tRNA) molecules are approximately 80 nucleotides in length. Their secondary structure includes four short double-helical elements and three loops (D, anti-codon, and T loops). Further hydrogen bonds mediate the characteristic L-shaped molecular structure. tRNAs have two regions of fundamental functional importance: the anti-codon, which is responsible for specific mRNA codon recognition, and the 3' end, to which the tRNAs corresponding amino acid is attached (by aminoacyl-tRNA synthetases). tRNAs cope with the degeneracy of the genetic code in two manners: having more than one tRNA (with a specific anti-codon) for a particular amino acid; and 'wobble' base-pairing, i.e. permitting non-standard base-pairing at the 3rd anti-codon position. The record is from Rfam by way of RNAcentral. Lineage: Eukaryota; Metazoa; Chordata; Mammalia; Artiodactyla; Bovidae. RNAcentral also lists the same sequence under 1 other name.
UCCCUGGUGGCUCAGAUGGUAAAGCAUCUGCCAGCAAUGCAGGAGACACAGGUUCCAACCCUGGGUAGGGAA